This 466-nucleotide ribosomal RNA is filed under the name uncultured bacterium. Its description in RNAcentral is "partial 16S ribosomal RNA". It matches the Rfam family "Bacterial small subunit ribosomal RNA", at positions 27 to 506 of the family's 1533-position model. The record is from RNAcentral.
GGACGAACACUGGCGGCGCGCCUAACACAUGCAAGUCGAACGAGCGAGAGAGAGCUUGCUUUCUUGAGCGAGUGGCGAACGGGUGAGUAACGCGUGAGGAACCUGCCUCAAAGAGGGGGACAACAGUUGGAAACGACUGCUAAUACCGCAUAAGCCCACGGUGCCGCAUGGCACAGAGGGAAAAGGAGCAAUCCGCUUUGAGAUGGCCUCGCGUCCGAUUAGCUAGUUGGUGAGGUAACGGCCCACCAAGGCGACGAUCGGUAGCCGGACUGAGAGGUUGAACGGCCACAUUGGGACUGAGACACGGCCCAGACUCCUACGGGGGGCAGCAGUGGGGAAUAUUGCAAAAUGGGGGAAACCCUGAUGCCGCGACGCCGGGUGGAGGAAAAAGGUUUUCGGAUUGUAAACUCCUGUUGUUGGGGAAGAAAAUGGCGGUACCAAAAAAGGAAGUAACGGCUAACUACGU